GUGGGGAAUCUUCCGCAAUGGACGAAAGUCUGACGGAGCAACGCCGCGUGAAGGAAGAAGGUCUUCGGAUCGUAAACUUCUAUCCUUGGUGAAGAUAAUGACGGUAGCCGAGAAGGAAGCCCCGGCUAACUACGUGCCAGCAGCCGCGGUAAUACGUAGGGGGCAAGCGUUGUCCGGAAUGAUUGGGCGUAAAGGGCGCGUAGGCGGCCUGGUAAGUCUGGAGUGAAAGUCCUGCUUUUAAGGUGGGAAUUGCUUUGGAUACUGUCGGGCUUGAGUGCAGGAGAGGUAAGUGGAAUUCCCGGUGUAGCGGUGAAAUGCGUAGAGAUCGGGAGGAACACCAGUGGCGAAGGCGACUUACUGGACUGUAACUGACGCUGAGGCGCGAAAGUGUGGGGAGCAAACAGGAUUAGAAACCCCUGUAGUCC
RNAcentral lists this ribosomal RNA (425 nucleotides) under uncultured bacterium. RNAcentral's name for it is "partial 16S ribosomal RNA". It matches the Rfam family "Bacterial small subunit ribosomal RNA", at positions 354 to 796 of the family's 1533-position model. The record is from RNAcentral.